ACCUGGUUGAUCCUGCCAGUAGUCAUAUGCUUGUCUCAAAGAUUAAGCCAUGCAUGUCUAAGUUUAAGCAAUAAACGGUGAAACUGCGAAUGGCUCAUUAAAUCAGUCAUAGUUUAUUUGAUGGUACCCUACUACAUGGAUAACUGUGGUAAUUCUAGAGCUAAUACAUGCUGAAAAAUCCCGACUUCUGGAAGGGAUGUAUUUAUUAGAUAAAAAACCAAUGCCCUUCGGGGCUCCUUGGUGAAUCAUAAUAACUUAACGAAUCGCAUGGCCU
Molecule: ribosomal RNA, 274 nt
Filed under: Chaetoceros curvisetus
Lineage: Eukaryota; Bacillariophyta; Thalassiosirophyceae; Chaetocerotales; Chaetocerotaceae
Description: partial Eukaryotic small subunit ribosomal RNA
Rfam family: Eukaryotic small subunit ribosomal RNA
Source: RNAcentral